Molecule: long non-coding RNA, 1353 nt
Filed under: Vulpes vulpes (red fox)
Lineage: Eukaryota; Metazoa; Chordata; Mammalia; Carnivora; Canidae
Description: lncRNA (ENSVVUG00000011777.1)
Source: RNAcentral
CCCCGGCCGCGGGGACCCGGGGACGCCGCCCGCCGCCCGCCGCCCGCCCGGCUCGGCGCCCUCUCUCCAGCCACACCGCGCAGAAAUUUAGGUCAAGGACGUCGCGAUCAGACCCAAACCCCGGCGCCCCUCUGCGGGCCCGAGACGCCCCCGCCCCCCGCCGCCCGGCCUCGGGGAGCCCCAGGAUUGCGGAGACCCUCCCGCACCCGCGGCAGCCACAAGUUUUUAUUUCCCUUUGGCGCUGGAAGUUCUCUCCGCUCUCGCUCCACACCGGCACGUCCUGCGCCACCCCCCGCCCUCCCCGGCGGAGGAUUAGGACACAAUGGAACACACUCAACACCAAAACUAUACCAAAUCCAGUGUGGGUCGUGGAAAAGUGGAAUAUUUGGAAAAUCCCAACACUACCCAAAGCCUUGGAUGACCAGAUUGUUAAUCUCCCUGCCUCUUAUUUUUGGGAUAAUUCCUCACUAACAGGAUUGAUGGGGUGAAAGGAGAGAUUGAAGUCUGAAGCAAAUCUCAGUGAAGAUGAAUUAACACUAAGAGAGAAAGUCAUGGAUUACCUUGAUGCUUCCACAGACCAAGCCAGUCAUCCUUCACAGGGGAGAUGGGGAAUGAGGUGUGGGUGUACCCAAUGUCAGGAAGGAUUAUCACAGAAGACCAGAUCUCAGGGAUGACAAUCACAACAACAAGAGUAAUUUAGGUUCUGAGAUAUAUUUCAUCACAGGUUGACGAAGCCCUUGACAGCAAAAUUAAAUCUGACAUCACUCUUUGGGUUGACAAACGCUGUCACAGUCUCCCGAUAGAGUGAGCUCAGACACUUGAGGGCUCUCUCUCCCGGAGGGUUAGUGUCACCUUCUUCCUUUCAGGCUAAUGGUACCUCAGCCAGCUCUGAAAGUGCUUGGACCUCUGGAAGACCCUCAUCAUGAGAGACUAAAGCAAGCCCUGGAGAAAAUGGAGUUACAGGAGCUCAGUCAAGCCAUGGGCUCAGAUACCAUCAUUGGGUUUAACUCCCUGGCAUCUCCUCUUCCUUCUCCUCCCAACCAGGUUCAGAAAGAACUUUUACUUACCCUCCUAUCUUCCGUGUAAAGGUCAGACUUCAGAAUCAGCACGUUAAGUCAAUUAGACCACCAACAUCCUUUUAAAGGAAUGUAAAAUCUGACAUUAAGAUCAUCACAAGAAGUCAUAGAUUUUUCUCUCCGUGGGCGAGGACAAUUUGCCACUUUCAGGCAGCAGAGGCAUAAGAGCAUUAUCAUUCAUGACAUACGCAAGCAGGAUGUAAAUAACCGCAAUGUUUAGCUCCCUGGCCCAUGGUCAGUUCACCUUCUUCCACAAUAAAAGUGACCAUGACACUCA